GAGUGAGGUCAAAGUAUGGGAAAAGGUCAUGUGGUGAUUGCAGGGUCAGUAAAACAUGACUUUCAAGUCUUCAUAAAUUAGCGCACUGCCCAUCGGACAGGAUGGAGCCCACGAGCCGAGUGAGCAGUCGUGGGAGGCCCAUUAGCCAUGUGCGGAUGGGGUGCUGCAAGUGGUAUCAGAGCCAAAAACAGACGAAUGUGGAGUCAGUGAGAGCUCACACUAACAUAUGGGUAACGAUCUUGGGGCGCAACAAGGACGUUGCGUUCUUUGAGAGGAGGUGAAUUGUAACAUCCCGUUUGUGGUAUAUCAAAAAGGUUUAAGAGAAUUGAUUUUGCUACCUAUAUCAUCAAAGUGCACUUACCUUUCCGUACACACAUCAGUUUAGAACUCUAGAGUUACGCGUGCUUAAGCUGAAGUAGUGGAAGGAUGGAUGAACUAUCGGGAAGUGAUUCACGAUAUCGUGCGAGUAAGUCCAAACCAUGGGGAUAGGUCACGUGGUGAUUCCAUG
Molecule: long non-coding RNA, 508 nt
Filed under: Brassica napus (rape)
Lineage: Eukaryota; Viridiplantae; Streptophyta; Magnoliopsida; Brassicales; Brassicaceae
Description: long non-coding RNA (BNAP_LNC004412)
Source: RNAcentral